CCUACGGGUGGCAGCAGUGAGGAAUAUUGGUCAAUGGCCGGAAGGCUGAACCAGCCAAGCCGCGUGAGGGAAUAAGGCCCUAUGGGUCGUAAACCUCUUUUGUCAGGGAGCAAAGGCGUCGACGAGUGCACGAAAGGAGAGUACCUGAAGUAAAAGCAUCGGUUAAAUCCGUGCCAGCAGCCGCGGUAAGACGGGGGAUGCGAGCGUUAUACGGAUUGAUUGGGUUUAAAGGGUGCGUAGGCGGAGUGUUAAGUCAGCGGUAAAAGUUCGGGGCUCAACCCCGUCGUGCCGUUGAAACUGGCAGCCUUGAGUGAGUGAGAAGUAAGCGGAAUGCGUGGUGUAGCGGUGAAAUGCAUAGAUAUCGCGCAGAACGCCGAUUGCGAAGGCAGCUUACCGGCGCUAAACUGACGCUGAGGCACGAAAGUGCGGGGAUCGAACAGGAUUAGAUACCCUUGUAGUC
Molecule: ribosomal RNA, 460 nt
Filed under: uncultured bacterium
Lineage: Bacteria
Description: partial 16S ribosomal RNA
Rfam family: Bacterial small subunit ribosomal RNA
Source: RNAcentral